UGGGGAAUUUUGGACAAUGGGGGAAACCCUGAUCCAGCAAUGCCGCGUGUGUGAAGAAGGCCUUCGGGUUGUAAAGCACUUUUGUCCGGAAAGAAAACUUCUGCCCUAAUACGGCGGGAGGAUGACGGUACCGGAAGAAUAAGCGCCGGCUAACUACGUGC
Molecule: ribosomal RNA, 161 nt
Filed under: uncultured bacterium
Lineage: Bacteria
Description: partial 16S ribosomal RNA
Rfam family: Bacterial small subunit ribosomal RNA
Source: RNAcentral